This 255-nucleotide unclassified non-coding RNA is filed under the name Glomus sp. RNAcentral describes it as "partial contains 5.8S ribosomal RNA and internal transcribed spacer 2". The stretch from base 1 to 71 matches the Rfam family "5.8S ribosomal RNA", at positions 84 to 154 of the family's 154-position model. The record is from RNAcentral. Lineage: Eukaryota; Fungi; Glomeromycota; Glomeromycetes; Glomerales; Glomeraceae.
GUGAAUCAUCAAAUCUUUGAACGCAAAUUGCACUCUCUGGUAUUCCGGAGAGUAUGCCUGCUUGAGGGUCAGUUUAAAUAAAAAUCGGUGUGGUUGCUGCCUUUCGUGGUGACGCAUCGGAUUUGGGUCGUCUUGCCUUCGGGUAAGUGACCUAAAAUUUUGCAUGAUGUUUUCGAACGUAUUUAAAUGAUUUUACGUACGUUUGCGAUAUCGAAUAUUAGGUUCGGUCAUACUCAUCAUUGGUGCCUUGAAUUU